AGUGAACGCUGGCGGUAGGCCUAACACAUGCAAGUCGAACGGCAGCACAGAGGAGCUUGCUCCUUGGGUGGCGAGUGGCGGACGGGUGAGGAAUACAUCGGAAUCUACUCUGUCGUGGGGGAUGACGUAGGGAAACUUACGCUAAUACCGCAUACGACCUACGGGUGAAAGCAGGGGACCUUCGGGCCUUGUGCGAUUGAAUGAGCCGAUGUCGGAUUAGCUAGUUGGCGGGGUAAAGGCCCACCAAGGCGACGAUCCGUAGCUGGUCUGAGAGGAUGAUCAGCCACACUGGAACUGAGACACGGUCCAGACUCCUACGGGAGGCAGCAGAGGGGAAUAUUGGACAAUGGGCGCAAGCCUGAUCCAGCCAUACCGCGUGGGUGAAGAAGGCCUUCGGGUUGUAAAGCCCUUUUGUUGGGAAAGAAAUCCAUCUGGUUAAUACCCGGGUGGGAUGACGGUACCCAAAGAAUAAGCACCGGCUAACUUCGUGCCAGCCGCCGCCGUAA
Molecule: ribosomal RNA, 506 nt
Filed under: uncultured bacterium
Lineage: Bacteria
Description: partial 16S ribosomal RNA
Rfam family: Bacterial small subunit ribosomal RNA
Source: RNAcentral